GGCCCCUUACCGGGGUUGCGGACAGUGUCUGGUGGGUAGUUUGACUGGGGCGGUCUCCUCCCAAAGCGUAACGGAGGAGCACGAAGGUUAGCUAAUCCUGGUCGGACAUCAGGAGGUUAGUGCAAUGGCAUAAGCUAGCUUGACUGCGAGCGUGACGGCGCGAGCAGGUGCGAAAGCAGGUCAUAGUGAUCCGGUGGUUCUGAAUGGAAGGGCCAUCGCUCAACGGAUAAAAGGUACUCCGGGGAUAACAGGCUGAUACCGCCCAAGAGUUCAUAUCGACGGCGGUGUUUGGCACCUCGAUGUCGGCUCAUCACAUCCUGGGGCUGAAGUAGGUCCCAAGGGUAUGGCUGUUCGCCAUUUAAAGUGGUACGCGAGCUGGGUUUAGAACGUCGUGAGACAGUUCGGUCCCUAUCUGCCGUGGGCGCUGGAGAAUUGAGGGGGGCUGCUCCUAGUACGAGAGGACCGGAGUGGACGCAUCACUGGUGUUCGGGUUGUCAUGCCAAUGGCACUGCCCGGUAGCUAAAUGCGGAAGAGAUAAGUGCUGAAAGCAUCUAAGCACGAAACUUGCCCCGAGAUGAGUUCUCCCUGAGACUUUAAGUCUCCUGAAGGAACGUUAAAGACGAUGACGUUGAUAGGCCGGGUGUGUAAGCGCAGCGAUGCGUUGAGCUAACCGGUACUAAUGAACCGUGAGGCUUAACCUU
Molecule: ribosomal RNA, 701 nt
Filed under: Klebsiella pneumoniae
Lineage: Bacteria; Pseudomonadati; Pseudomonadota; Gammaproteobacteria; Enterobacterales; Enterobacteriaceae
Description: partial 23S ribosomal RNA
Rfam family: Bacterial large subunit ribosomal RNA
Source: RNAcentral